UUUUUGGCCCUCGAGGGAGGUCACGACCUCACAGCCAUCUGCGAUGCAUCUGAAGCCUGUGUUAGUGCACUGCUGGGUAUACAGGAUGCAAUGCCAGAGGAAGUUCUGCGCCCAAAACCCAACGCCAACGCCGUCCGCUCCCUUCAGAAGGUCAUAGAAAUACAAAGUCAGUACUGGCAGAGCAUCAA
Long non-coding RNA from Fundulus heteroclitus (mummichog), 188 nucleotides. RefSeq lists it as uncharacterized. The record is from RefSeq and is a predicted model, not a curated record. The transcript has 3 exons. NCBI's taxonomy places the organism in Eukaryota, Metazoa, Chordata, Actinopteri, Cyprinodontiformes, Fundulidae.